This is a long non-coding RNA of Grus americana (Whooping crane), 1752 nucleotides long. RefSeq lists it as uncharacterized. Lineage: Eukaryota; Metazoa; Chordata; Aves; Gruiformes; Gruidae. The transcript is spliced from 2 exons. The record is from RefSeq and is a predicted model, not a curated record.
UGAAGGCAAACCCAUCUGUGGCAUUGCUUUUGCUCAAGGACCUGGGUGUGCUUGGUGGGUGAUGCAGAAAGAUGAGGAAGUAAUUUUGGGUGAGAAUAGCCAAUAAAUUAAGUUGUAUGGUGUGAAUUGCUACAUAAUAAUGCAUGUCAUCUCUACUUUGAUUGCUAAAUACCAUAAUAGGAGUAUUACAGUAAGAAUCACCCAGAUAAAUGAAGAAUAACUUUGAUGAAAAUGAGCAAAGUGCAGCGAUGAUGAAACCAGAACUGGCUACAGCAACAAGCGCCCAGCAACUUCCUUGAGAUUGACACCUUUAACCUGCAGGCCAUGAGAUUGGACCAUGCCAGAUACAGCAGCCGUGAGCUCCGGAUGCAGCAUGCAACAAUCCAACAGUACACACCAUCGCUUCUGCCCCGAGAGACUGUUGCGGCAGAUGAAGCCCAAAGUCAUGGAUGAAAUGAACUCGAUGAACAUUUUUGAGGGAUUUAGAGGGAAGGACAUAGACUAAGGGAGUGAUACCGGCAUGUACAGUAAAAAGACUGUACUUUCAAAAGACAGGAAAAGUGAUGGUGAUUAAUUGGAAUGUAUUGGGAAAUAUAAGACCUGGGCAUGACAUAGAUGGUAUGGAUUAAGGCGUGGAUACUGUCCUGGUUUCGACUUAGAGUUAAUUUUCUUUCUAGUAGAUGCUAUAGUGCUGUGUUUUGGAUUUAGUAUGAGAAUAAUGUUGAUAACACUGAUGCUUUUAGUUGUUGCUACGUAGUUUUAGUGCCUACACUAAGUCAAGGACCUUUCAGCUUCUCACGCCUUGCCAGGUGCACAAGAAGCUGGGAGGGGAUGCAGCCAGGACAGCUGACCCAGAUUGGCCAAAGGGAUAUUCCCUAAUAUAUAGCAUCAUGAUUCAUAUAUAACUGGGGAAGCGAGUUGGGCGGUAGAGUCACUGCUUGGAAACAGACUGGGCAUCAGGUUGUUUUAUUUGCCGUUUGCAUGUGGUGAGCAAUUGCAUUUGUGCAUCAGUUGUAUUAUUAGUAGUAGUAGUAGUAUUAUUUUCUCUUCCUUUGUUAUGCUAUUAAACUGUCUUUAUCUCAAGCCAUGAGUUUGUUUUCCCAUUCCCCUCCUCAUCCCCUUGAGGUGGGGGGAGUGAGCGAGUUGCUGCGUGGUGCUUAACUGCCGGCUGGGGCUAAACCACGACAAUGAGAAAAAAGGUACUUCUUAGCUGCAUAAUCCUUCUGUAACUGAUACUUCCGAAUUUCUUCCAGAGUUACUACACUUAACCUGGAAGAUACCUAGUUUAGGCAUAAACAGGGUAAAUUAGAAAAUAACUGUUUCAAAAGAUAUCAGUGACUUGCUUUCCAUGUUAUUGAUUCAUGGGGUUUUUUUCCUCAUUAUAUAACAUGAACAAAAGCUUUAGAGCAAACUGUUCCAGCUGUCUUCUCCUGAAAAGGAAGCAUGGAAAACUAGCACUUUAAAAACCUUUUUUUAUAAAAUCUUUUCUUUUAAAGGCCGUGCUCCUAAAAUCACCAUGCCACCCCCACCUCAGAACAAGAAUGAUGACUUCAGUGAUGACUUCAUUCAUUCAGUGAAGACUUCAUUGCAGACAGAUAAAACAACUUUCACACCUGAAAUAAAAAACACCACAGUGACUCCAAGUGUAACCAAAGAUGUGGCAUUGACAGCAGUUCUGGUUCCAGUGCUGGUGAUGGUCUUCACUACUCUGAUUCUUAUCUUAGUUUGUGCGUGGCAUUGGAGAAACCGUAA